UCUCAGUGAUUCUGAGUUUAAGCCGAGAGUUGCUCACGUGACCGAGAUCUCACAUGACGUAGGUGAUCACGUGAUCAACCGCUUACGUGAGCAGAAGUAGUUCUGGUCGUCGUCUACCGUCUCGCUAUACCCGUUUGAGGGAAGAAGGAGGAAAAUUAUCCGAACAUGAACAAAGUUAUCAGAAAAAACUGGACUACCACAACCAAAGAUGUCACAGUUGGCACACAAUUCUGAUAAGGUAAGCCAAGGUCAGGGAGUAAUGUUCUUUAAGACACAAUACUA
Molecule: long non-coding RNA, 282 nt
Filed under: Dasypus novemcinctus (nine-banded armadillo)
Lineage: Eukaryota; Metazoa; Chordata; Mammalia; Cingulata; Dasypodidae
Description: lncRNA (ENSDNOG00000050313.1)
Source: RNAcentral